GACCAGAGUUGGGCUGCUGGGGGUACUGGAGGACCAGAGUUGGGGCUGGGGUUACUGGAGGACCAGAGUUGGGCUGCUGGAAGACUGGAGUUGGGGUUACUGGAAGACUGGAUUGGGGUUACUGGAAGACUGGAGUUGGGGUUACUGGAAGACUGGAGUUGGGCUGCUGGGGGUACUGGAAGACUGGAGUUGGGCUUUGGGGCUGCUGGAAGACUGGAGUUGGGCUGCUGGGGGUACUGGAAGACUGGAGUUGGGCUGCUGGGGGACUGGAGUUGGGCUGCUGGGGGUACUGGAAGACUGGAGUUGGGCUGCUGGGGGUACUGGAAGACUGGAGUUGGGCUGCUGGGGGUACUUGGAAGACUGGAGUUGGGCUGCUGGGGGUACUGGAAGACUGGAGUUGGGCUGCUGGGGGUACUGGAAGACUGGAGUUGGGCUGCUGGGGGUACUGGAAGACUGGAAUACCGGAGGCUGGGGCAAGGC
This 480-nucleotide long non-coding RNA is filed under the name Salmo salar (Atlantic salmon). Its description in RNAcentral is "lncRNA (ENSSSAG00000104096.1)". Lineage: Eukaryota; Metazoa; Chordata; Actinopteri; Salmoniformes; Salmonidae. The record is from RNAcentral.